Molecule: long non-coding RNA, 586 nt
Organism: Gadus morhua (Atlantic cod)
Lineage: Eukaryota; Metazoa; Chordata; Actinopteri; Gadiformes; Gadidae
Exons: 3
Source: RefSeq, a predicted model, not a curated record
UCCCAAAUUGCGAUUCGAAGAUGUGCAGAAGAUUGUGGAGACACACUCAGCAACACCACAGCCCAGCCUGACAAAGGGGUACAAGUUUUUUGUGGAGGAGUUUGUACACAAUUAUCAAGAUCACCCUGGAGGCUGUUGGACAACUGGGUCUCUCAGAACACAGCUGUAGCUGUGCUGCGGACAAAGGCUUCUGUAGCCAUAUAACCGCUCUGCUGUUCCAGACAGCGCAUUAUGUGCAGCUGGGCCUUGAUGUGGUUCCACCUUCCCUGGCCUGUACCAGUCAACCACAGAUGUGGCAUCGACCUCGAACACACGUGUGCUGUUGUGUCCUCUGUUCAAAUCAUACACUUCAGUAUUUGUCUAGAGCAUAUGAGCAUUUCCUGUAUGACUAAAUUUUUGUUGUUCGCCUCAGGGAAUCCAUCCAGAGGCUGUGAGUGACCUGGUGGUGAAGAAACCCAAGUCGGUGGGGAAGACUGGAGUCAAGUCCACACUCUACAGAGCGUAUGCUGAGGGAAUAUCCAGCUUGGAGUUGGUACCAUCUCAGCUGUGCUGACCUGGAAGAUGUCAGCAAUGACCUGUUCUUUAA